UGAAGAAUUUUGUCCAAACGGUGGGGGGAUAGCCGGCCCAACGGCCGGGUAAUACCGCGUACGCCCUUCGAGCGGCAUCGCUUGAUGGGGAAAGUCACAAGACGCCGAUGGAGAACUUCGCGGCCUAUCAGGUAGUUGGUGAGGUAACGGCUCACCAAGCCGACGACGGGUAGCUGGUCUGAGAGGAUGGCCAGCCACAUUGGAACUGAGACACGGUCCAGACUCCGUACGGGAGCAG
This 238-nucleotide ribosomal RNA is filed under the name uncultured bacterium. RNAcentral's name for it is "partial 16S ribosomal RNA". It matches the Rfam family "Bacterial small subunit ribosomal RNA", at positions 118 to 347 of the family's 1533-position model. The record is from RNAcentral.